AGCGUGAGGUUUGAUUUACCAAAUAUGACCCAUUUGAUCAACAGAGCCAGAAGCAAGCUUUUCCCGUUAGAAUUCCAGGCCACCGAAUUGAAAGACCUACGAAAAGAUGAAGAUCAAAAGAUGGAAAAAGUCCUAAACUUUAAAGAAAAAGAAGCUAAACCUAACCAGCUCAAGGAUGUUGAAAAUUCAGAGAUGAAAAAGUCCACAACUUAACUCAAGAACAGACAAAAUAGGUAGCUCAACUAAUUUAGAAACCGCUUUCAAAUCUCCAUUUAUCAACCACCAAAGCUAAUAAACAAAACGUAUCUUAAACUGGAUGAUGAUGCAGUGGUUUAUAGCAAAAUUAGUUGUUUCAUCGUAUAGGCCGAUCCUUCAUUCUCUGAGAACCCGUGCAGAUACCACAGCUCAGUAUGACUACGGUCGUGUGAUAAUGGCACCGGCUUCGACUUCUUCUCAGGUUUAUCAUAGCGGUGUUCACAGAAAGCGCGGGCGGCGUGCUCUAGGCUCCAAUUGUUGUCGCUGAGGUCCUUGGUUCUUCCGCCGCGGUUCUCUGGCUCUCAGACGGAGGUUGAGCCGGCGACGGCAAGUUUUUCUGCGGCAAGCCUCCAUCGCCAUAAAGAUUUCGUGUAACGUAGUAAACAGAGAAGAGGAAGAGAAAGGGGAUCGAAGAUCCAUUUUGAUAAAUUAGGGUUGGUUCUUCGUGGAAAGGGGAAAGGGGACUUCAGAGAGCCACCGGUUUCUCGAUUCUGAACAUUAUCGGGCCUGUAGAAUGCGAGGCCCAAAUGACACGCGCGGACCUUCUGACGUGACGAAUAUCUGAUUCCCUAUUGGUUGAUUUUUUAUACUGACGUGGACAGACUCAAUGGAGCUCAUAUAUCCUUUUAAUAUAGUAUAGAUUAGUGUUAUCUUUUCCAAUUAAUAAAUACAUUUUCCUAAUUCUAAUUCGUACCUACAAUUAAUUGAACAUAAUCUGUUUUUUAUUAACUAAACUACAGUUUGAAAAAUCUCAGGAAAAUGAAAUCGUUUUCCUCCAAACUAAAACCUACAACUUUCUUCAACACCUAUGAGCACCUAUAGCUCAUGAACCUGUAAACAGAGCAAUGAAACAUAACUUUAGUUUUUUAAAACAAAAAUCAUGACUUCGAGUCUUCAUUGCUAUCAUACAUAUAUUAAUAAUUAUUUCUCCACAAGUCCAAUGUUCAAUCACGUUCUAAUUGGUAUCGUAUUAUUGUAACCUAUAACCGAGAUAGAUACAUAUUUUUUUCUUUAUUAAUGAAAUCAAAUCAUCUAUACAAAUCGAUUUUUUAAUCUUUCUGAACAAACAAAAUCAAUAAGUUCAGAUCAAAACAAAAUAUCUUUUAUUAGUCUAUCCAAACCUAUAAUCAAUGUCAGAAUCUUUAUUAUACCUAUAAAAUAUAGAAACUAUAGCCUGAAUUAUCGCUAUCUAUUAUAUUUAUAUAAAUCUAUCUAUACUAUUAUUUAUAAAGUGAUUUAGUUAAUUUGUCAUGAUUUUCAUGAUUUUAGGUAAUUUUGCUUAUUUGUCAUGUUUUAAUUAGGUUUAAGCUGAGUCAUUAAUUUAUUAAUAGUUUUUAGAUGAGUUCAUAAUUUAUUAAUUUAAAUAAUAUAACUAUAAAAUAUGUAAUUAGAUGUAUGAUUAUUUUGAUUUUGUUUAUUUGUUAUGUUUUCCAUGAGUUUAGUCAAUGUUGCUUAUUUGUCAUAUUUUUAUUAGGUUUUAGCUUACUCAUUGAUUUAUUAAUAAUUUUUAGCCGAAUCACUAAUUUAUUAAUUUUUUAAAAAAUAUCUGUAAUGAAUUUUAUAUAUAAUUAAAAAUAAAUUUUAUUUUAAGAGUAUAAAGUUUAUAUGUUAUAUGUUACAUUAAAUAAUUGAUUAUAAAAUAAUAUAAUAGAAUUAUAAAAAAUAAGAUUAUUCUUAUAUAUAUUGUGUUGCUAUCUGAAAACAAUAUUUUAUUAUAAAAGUUAAAAAGUUAAGAUAAAAAAAGCAAUUGAUAAUUAAAUAUUAGUCAAGCAAAAAAAUUAUAUAAAGAUAUUUUCUAAACUAUUUCUAAGAUAUGAGUGUUUAAAAAAAAUUAACACAAUAGUAAGUAUAUAUUUUGAUAAAAAAAUAUUUGACAUAUAUAAAUACUUUGAUGUUUGAUUUAACUAUUUAAAACCAUAAAUAAUAACUUAUUAUGUUGGUUUUAGAUUAUUCUCAGUUUCAUAAUGGUAGUUGAUUUCACCAUUCUGCAUCACUUUGCCACACCAACUUCUUUCACCUCAAUUUAUGUGCCUAUUGCAUCUUUGUCCUUGGAAAGUACAGUAAUACGAAACAUCAGAAGGAAAAUCUGUAUGGAAGGAAGUCUCAUUAGAUUCAAAACAAAUAAAACCUAUAUAAAUUUCAGUACUUGUAGAAUGACAGAAGACUGAAACAUAUCCAGCAUAAAGGCAAAGAAACUACCUAAGCGUGAGGUUUGAUUUUCCAAAUAUGACCCAUUUGAUCAACAGAGCCAGAAGCAAGCUUUUCCCGUUAGAAUUCCAGGCCACCGAAUUGAAAGACCUACAAAAAGAUGAAGAUCAAAAGAUGGAAGAAGUCCUAAACUUUAAAGAAAAAGAAGCUAAACCUAACCAGCUCAAGGAUGUUGAAAAUUCAGAGAUGAAAAAGUCCACAACUUAACUCAAGAACAGACAAAAUAGGUAGCUCAACUAAUUUAGAAACCGCUUUCAAAUCUCCAUUUAUCAACCACCAAAGCUAAUAAACAAAACGUAUCUUAAACUGGAUGAUGAUGCAGUGGUUUAUAGCAAAAUUAGUUGUUUCAUCGUAUAGGCCGAUCCUUCAUUCUCUGAGAAUCCGUGCAGAUACCACAGCUCAGUAUGACUACGGUCGUGUGAUAAUGGCACCGGCUUCGACUUCUUCUCAGGUUUAUCAUAGCGGUGUUCACAGAAAGCGCGGGCGGCGUGCUCUAGGCUCCAAUUGUUGUCGCUGAGGUCCUUGGUUCGUCCGCCGCGGUUCUCUGGCUCUCAGACGGAGGUUGAGCCGGCGACGGCAAGUUUUUCUGCGGCAAGCCUCCAUCGCCAUAAAGAUUCGUGUAACGUAGUAAACAGAGAAGAGGAAGAGAAAGGGGAUCGAAGAUCCAUUUUGAUAAAUUAGGGUUGGUUCUUCGUGGAAAGGGGAAAGGGGACUUCAGAGAGCCACGGGCUUCUCGAUUCCGAACAUUAUCGGGCCUGUAGAAUGCGAGGCCCAAAU
This 3240-nucleotide long non-coding RNA is filed under the name Brassica napus (rape). RNAcentral describes it as "long non-coding RNA (BNAP_LNC003276)". Lineage: Eukaryota; Viridiplantae; Streptophyta; Magnoliopsida; Brassicales; Brassicaceae. The record is from RNAcentral.